UACGGAGGAUCCGAGCGUUAUCCGGAUUUAUUGGGUUUAAAGGGUGCGCAGGCGGGAGAUUAAGUCGGCGGUGAAAUUUUGCAGCUCAACUGUAAAAGUGCCAUUGAUACUGGUUUCCUUGAGUGUGGAUGAAGUAGGCGGAAUUUGUGGUGUAGCGGUGAAAUGCAUAGAUAUCACGAGGAACUCCGAUUGCGCAGGCAGCUUACUAAACCAUAACUGACGCUCAGGCACGAAGGCGUGGGGAUCAAACAGGAUUAGAUACCCCGGUA
RNAcentral lists this ribosomal RNA (269 nucleotides) under uncultured prokaryote. Its description in RNAcentral is "partial 16S ribosomal RNA". It matches the Rfam family "Bacterial small subunit ribosomal RNA", at positions 524 to 792 of the family's 1533-position model. The record is from RNAcentral.